AUUGAACGCUGGCGGCAGGCUUAACACAUGCAAGUCGAGCGGGGUGAUGGUGCUUGCACUAUCACUUAGCGGCGGACGGGUGAGUAAUGCUUAGGAAUCUGCCUAUUAGUGGGGGACAACAUCUCGAAAGGGAUGCUAAUACCGCAUACGUCCUACGGGAGAAAGCAGGGGAUCACUUGUGACCUUGCACUAAUAGAUGAGCCUAAGUCGGAUUAGCUAGUUGGUGGGGUAAAGGCCUACCAAGGCGACGAUCUGUAGCGGGUCUGAGAGGAUGAUCCGCCCCACUGGGACUGGGACACGGCCCAGACUCCUACGGGAGGCAGCAGUGGGGAAUAUUGGACAAUGGGGGGAACCCUGAUCCAGCCAUGCCGCGUGUGUGAAGAAGGCCUUAUGGUUGUAAAGCACUUUAAGCGAGGAGGAGGCUCUUUUGGUUAAUACCCAAGAUGAGUGACGUUACUCGCAGAAUAAGCACCGGCUAACUCUGUGCCAGCCGCCGCAGUAA
Molecule: ribosomal RNA, 502 nt
Filed under: uncultured bacterium
Lineage: Bacteria
Description: partial 16S ribosomal RNA
Rfam family: Bacterial small subunit ribosomal RNA
Source: RNAcentral